UACAGAGGUCUCAAGCGUUGUUCGGAUUCAUUGGGCGUAAAGGGUGCGUAGGCGGCGCGGUAAGUCGGGUGUGAAAUCUCGGAGCUUAACUCCGAAACUGCAUUCGAUACUGCCGUGCUUGAGGACUGGAGAGGAGACUGGAAUUCCUGGUGUAGCGGUGGAAUGCGCAGAUAUCAGGAGGAACACCGGUGGCGAAGGCGGGUCUCUGGGCCGACAUUGACGCUGAGGAGCGAAAGCGUGGGGAGCGAACAGG
Molecule: ribosomal RNA, 253 nt
Filed under: uncultured bacterium
Lineage: Bacteria
Description: partial 16S ribosomal RNA
Rfam family: Bacterial small subunit ribosomal RNA
Source: RNAcentral